ACUGAUUUGAUUUAAGGGCCGCGGUAUAUUGACCGUGCGAAGGUAGCAUAAUCAUUAGUCUUUUAAUUGGAGGCUUGUAUGAAUGGUUGGACAAAAAGUAAGCUGUCUCGGCUAUAAGAAUUGAACUUAACUUUUAAGUGAAAAGGCUUAAAUGACUCAGGGGGACGAUAAGACCCUAUAAAGCUUGACAAUAACUUAGUUAAAUUAUAAAUUGUUAGUAUAACUUGAUUUUAGCCAGGGUUUGUUUCGUUGGGGCGACGAGAAUAUAAUGAAUAACUGUUCUUUUAAAUAUAAUUACAAAGAUAAUUGGUGAGCGAUUGAUCCCUCUAAUAGAAGA
RNAcentral lists this ribosomal RNA (337 nucleotides) under Penaeus hathor. RNAcentral's name for it is "partial 16S ribosomal RNA". It matches the Rfam family "Archaeal large subunit ribosomal RNA", at positions 1957 to 2527 of the family's 2987-position model. Lineage: Eukaryota; Metazoa; Arthropoda; Malacostraca; Decapoda; Penaeidae. The record is from RNAcentral.